RNAcentral lists this ribosomal RNA (497 nucleotides) under uncultured bacterium. RNAcentral describes it as "partial 16S ribosomal RNA". It matches the Rfam family "Bacterial small subunit ribosomal RNA", at positions 28 to 507 of the family's 1533-position model. The record is from RNAcentral.
GAUGAACGCUGGCGGCGUGCCUAAUACAUGCAAGUCGAGCGAACAGACGAGGAGCUUGCUCCUCUGACGUUAGCGGCGGACGGGUGAGUAACACGUGGAUAACCUACCUAUAAGACUGGGAUAACUUCGGGAAACCGGAGCUAAUACCGGAUAAUAUAUUGAACCGCAUGGUUCAAUAGUGAAAGACGGUUUUGCUGUCACUUAUAGAUGGAUCCGCGCUGCAUUAGCUAGUUGGUAAGGUAACGGCUUACCAAGGCAACGAUGCGUAGCCGACGUGAGAGGGUGAUCGGCCACACUGGAACUGAGACACGGUCCAGACUCCUACGGGACGCAGCAGUAGGGAAUCUUCCGCAAAGGUCGAAAGCCUGACGGAGCAACGCCGCGUGAGUGAUGAAGGUCUUCGGAUCGUAAAACUCUGUUAUUAGGGAAGAACAAAUGUGUAAGUAACUAUGCACGUCUUGACGGUACCUAAUCAGAAAGCCACGGCUAACUACGUG